UACGUAGGGGGCUAGCGUUGUCCGGAAUCAUUGGGCGUAAAGGGCUUGUAGGUGGCCAACUAAGUCAGACGUGAAAUCCCUCGGCUUAACCGGGGAACUGCGUCUGAUACUGGAUGGCUGGAGUGUGGGAGAGGGAUGCGGAAUUCCAGGUGUAGCGGUGAAAUGCGUAGAUAUUGGGAGGAACACCGGUGGCGAAGGCGGCCCCCUGGACCGGUACUGACGCUGAGGCGCGAAAGCGUGGGUAGCAAACGGG
This 253-nucleotide ribosomal RNA is filed under the name uncultured bacterium. Its description in RNAcentral is "partial 16S ribosomal RNA". It matches the Rfam family "Bacterial small subunit ribosomal RNA", at positions 524 to 776 of the family's 1533-position model. The record is from RNAcentral.